GUGAAGCCUGUUGGGAGCGCAUGGCUGGGGAUUGAAGGGAGCGACUUGAACCCAGGACCGAGGACUUGUGCGCCCCUUGGAAAUGUGCAACUUGAACCCAUGGCCAGGACUUAAUGUGCCCCUUGGAAGCACAUAACUCGAACCCACGACCCACCACCGCAGAGGACGUUAUUGGGCGGUUGGGAGCGCAUGACUUGAACCCCCAACCGAGGACGGGAUGUGCGACUUGAACCCGUGGCCAGGACUUAAAUGUGCGAGGUGAAGCCUGUUGGGAGCGCAUGAGUCGAACCCAUGACUGGGGAUUGACUGUUGGGAAUGUGCGAUUUGAACCCGCAACUGGGACUGAAUGGGAGUGCGCAAUUUGAACCCAGGGCCGAGGACUUAAUGCGCCCAUUAGAAGUGUGCGAUGUGAACCCACAACCGAGGAGUUAAUGCACCACUUGCAAGUGCAUGACUCGAACCCAUGGCCGGGACUUAAUGGGCAUGUUGGGAGCGCACAACUUGAACCCACAACUGGGGUUUACUGGGCCUGUUGGGAGUGCGCAAUUUGAACCCAUGGCCAAGGACUUGAUGCGUUGGAAGCGCAUAACUUGAACCCGCUACCGGUGAGGACUUAUGUGCCUGUUGGGAGGGUGCGAUUUGAGCCCAUGGCCGGGACUUAAUGGGCGUGUUGUGAGCGCAUGGCUUGAACCCGCAACCGAGGACGGAAUGUGCGACUUGAACCCGUAGCCAGGACUUAAAUGUGCGAGGUGAAGCCUGUUGGGAGCGCAUGACUGGGGAUUGAAUGGAGCAACUUGAACCCGGGACCGAGGACUUGUGCGCCCGUUGGAA
Podarcis lilfordi (Lilford's wall lizard) is the source of this 831-nucleotide non-coding RNA. Lineage: Eukaryota; Metazoa; Chordata; Lepidosauria; Squamata; Lacertidae. The record is from the annotation of a GenBank genome assembly.